UACGAAGGGGGCGAGCGUUGUUCGGAAUUACUGGGCGUAAAGGGCGCGCAGGCGGCUCUGAAAGUCAGAUGUGAAAGCCCCGGGCUUAACCUGGGAAUUGCAUUUGAUACUCUGGAGCUUGAGUACGGGAGAGGAGAGUGGAAUUCCCAGUGUAGAGGUGAAAUUCGUAGAUAUUGGGAAGAACACCGGUGGCGAAGGCGGCUCUCUGGACCGUAACUGACGCUGAGGCGCGAAAGCUAGGGGAGCAAACAGG
This 253-nucleotide ribosomal RNA is filed under the name uncultured bacterium. RNAcentral describes it as "partial 16S ribosomal RNA". It matches the Rfam family "Bacterial small subunit ribosomal RNA", at positions 524 to 776 of the family's 1533-position model. The record is from RNAcentral.